This 487-nucleotide ribosomal RNA is filed under the name uncultured bacterium. RNAcentral describes it as "partial 16S ribosomal RNA". It matches the Rfam family "Bacterial small subunit ribosomal RNA", at positions 28 to 506 of the family's 1533-position model. The record is from RNAcentral.
GACGAACGCUGGCGGCGUGCUUAACACAUGCAAGUCGAACGCGCCUGUCCUCUGGGUUUCUGGGGGGUGGGUGAGUGGCGAACGGGUGAGUAACACGUGAGUAACCUGCCCCCUUCUUCGGGAUAACGGUCUGAAAGGGCUGCUAAUACCGGGUAUUCACUGGUCUCCGCAUGGGGUCUGGUGGAAAGGUUUUUUUCUGGUGGGGGAUGGGCUCGCGGCCUAUCAGCUUGUUGGUGGGGUGAUGGCCCACCAAGGCUUUGACGGGUAGCCGGCCUGAGAGGGUGACCGGUCACAUUGGGACUGAGAUACGGCCCAGACUCCUACGGGAGGCAGCAGUGGGGAAUAUUGCACAAUGGGCGCAAGCCUGAUGCAGCGACGCCGCGUGAGGGAUGGAGGCCUUCGGGUUGUGAACCUCUUUCGCCCGUGGUCAAGCCGCGACGUGGGUCGUGGUGAGGGUAGUGGGUAAAGAAACGCCGGCUAACUACGU